CGAACGCUGGCGGCGUGCUUAACACAUGCAAGUCGAACGGAAAGGCCCUGCUUUUGUGGGGUGCUCGAGUGGCGAACGGGUGAGUAACACGUGAGUAACCUGCCCUUGACUUUGGGAUAACUUCAGGAAACUGGGGCUAAUACCGGAUAGGAGCUCCUGCUGCAUGGUGGGGGUUGGAAAGUUUCGGCGGUUGGGGAUGGACUCGCGGCUUAUCAGCUUGUUGGUGGGGUAGUGGCUUACCAAGGCUUUGACGGGCAGCCGGCCUGAGAGGGUGACCGGCCACAUUGGGACUGAGAUACGGCCCAGACUCCUACGGGAGGCAGCAGUGGGGAAUAUUGCACAAUGGGCGGAAGCCUGAUGCAGCAACGCCGCGUGCGGGAUGACGGCCUUCGGGUUGUAAACCGCUUUCGCCUGUGACGAAGCGUGAGUGACGGUAAUGGGUAAAGAAGCACCGGCUAACUACGUG
RNAcentral lists this ribosomal RNA (466 nucleotides) under uncultured bacterium. RNAcentral's name for it is "partial 16S ribosomal RNA". It matches the Rfam family "Bacterial small subunit ribosomal RNA", at positions 30 to 507 of the family's 1533-position model. The record is from RNAcentral.